UUUCCGUAGGUGAACCUGCGGAAGGAUCAUUAAUGAGUUGUCAUGGGGUUCGAUGCUGGCAGCCAAUUUUUGGAUGCACGUGCUUGCCCUAACAAUCAUCUUCCAAACACCUGUGCACAUUUUUGAGGGAGUCUUGAGUUGGUUGCCGCUCUUGGGUGAUUUUCUCACAUUCCCUUAAAUCAUUAUACGCUAUUAACAAUGUUGAACGUGCUCUGUGCCGCAAGGCUAUUAAUAUAAUACAACUUUUAACAACGGAUCUCUUGGCUCUCGCAUCGAUGAAGAACGCGGC
This 289-nucleotide unclassified non-coding RNA is filed under the name plant metagenome. Its description in RNAcentral is "partial contains small subunit ribosomal RNA, internal transcribed spacer 1, and 5.8S ribosomal RNA". The stretch from base 241 to 289 matches the Rfam family "5.8S ribosomal RNA", at positions 1 to 49 of the family's 154-position model. The record is from RNAcentral.